GAUGAACGCUAGCGGCAGGCUUAAUACAUGCAAGUCGAGGGGCAGCAUAAGUAGCAAUACUUGAUGGCGACCGGCAAACGGGUGCGGAACACGUACGCAACCUUCCUUUAAGUGGGGAAUAGCCCGGGGAACCCGGAUUAAUACCCCGUAAUAUUAUGAUGUGGCAUCACAUUAUAAUUAUAGAUUCAUCGCUUAAAGAUGGGCGUGCGCCUGAUUAGGUAGUUGGCGGAGUAAUAGCCCACCAAGCCUGCGAUCAGUAACUGGUGUGAGAGCACGACCAGUCACACGGGCACUGAGACACGGGCCCGACUCCUACGGGAGGCAGCAGUAAGGAAUAUUGGUCAAUGGACGCAAGUCUGAACCAGCCAUGCCGCGU
This 376-nucleotide ribosomal RNA is filed under the name uncultured bacterium. RNAcentral's name for it is "bacterial SSU rRNA". It matches the Rfam family "Bacterial small subunit ribosomal RNA", at positions 28 to 402 of the family's 1533-position model. The record is from RNAcentral.